AGUUUUAUAGUAUAAUUAGUAUGUUUGAUUUCCAAUCAAAAGGUUAUAAAAUUAU
RNAcentral lists this transfer RNA (55 nucleotides) under Mecistocirrus digitatus. RNAcentral describes it as "tRNA-Gly". The record is from RNAcentral. Lineage: Eukaryota; Metazoa; Nematoda; Chromadorea; Rhabditida; Trichostrongylidae.